GGAAAAUGCAGCAGUACUGCCGACUGGUGGUGAGGGUAGCUUUGUAAGCGCACUUUUGUUUUCAGAUCUUCCAUGCCCCAAGGCAUUCCCAGGGCUGAGGAGUUUGGUAAAUUCUGGGGAAAGAGAGGAAUUUGAAAUGUAUGAGUUGGUAGCUCAUUUAGAGGAUGUUCGGCCACCUGCUCGCAGACCGCGGGGACUUUCACAGCCAGUACAUGUACGGCGCAGGUGCCAGGAGAUUGAAAAUGAAAGUGAAUUGUCGAUUUUUCUAUCUUUUCAUUCAACUUCUUUUCAAAAGCUCUUCCUCUUUCAAAAAUCAUCCAAAUGCCUUUCCUUUAAAGUUAAUACCACAAGGAAUUGAAGUCUCAUUUCCUGGAAAUCCAGGGCUGGACGGCAUCCAUCCUUCAAAUGAGCCCCUAGAGAGAAGACGUGGAGACCGAACUCCCAACUCAGGUUUCCGGGGGAUGCGUAUUAGACCCCCGGCCUGGAAGCUGAGGUCACGGAUUACUUUCUCAUUGCCGUCAAGGCAUAAUGCAUGCCAUGCUCCAGCAUGAAGGUCUGUCCAUGUUAUCAAAAAUGGAAGGAUACCAUCCUUUCUCAUGGGUGAGUAAUAUUCCAUUGUGUGUAUGUACCACAUCUUUUUUAUCCCUUCAUCCAUUGAUGGUCAUCUGGGUUGUAUCCA
RNAcentral lists this long non-coding RNA (679 nucleotides) under Equus caballus (horse). RNAcentral's name for it is "lncRNA (ENSECAG00000053166.1)". Lineage: Eukaryota; Metazoa; Chordata; Mammalia; Perissodactyla; Equidae. The record is from RNAcentral.